This 253-nucleotide ribosomal RNA is filed under the name uncultured bacterium. Its description in RNAcentral is "partial 16S ribosomal RNA". It matches the Rfam family "Bacterial small subunit ribosomal RNA", at positions 524 to 776 of the family's 1533-position model. The record is from RNAcentral.
UACAGAGGUCCCAAGCGUUGUUCGGAUUUAUUGGGUUUAAAGGGUGCGUAGGCGGCCUUGUAAGUCAGUGCUGAAAUAUCCCGGCUUAACCGGGAGGGUGGCAUUGAUACUGCAGGGCUUGAGUAAAGUUGAGGUUGGCGGAAUUGACGGUGUAGCGGUGAAAUGCUUAGAUAUCGUCAAGAACACCGAUAGUGAAGACAGCUAACUAAGCUUUAACUGACGCUGAGGCACGAAAGUGUGGGGAUCAAACAGG